UGGGGAAUAUUGGACAAUGGGGGCAACCCUGAUCCAGCAAUUCUGUGUGCACGAAGAAGGUUUUCGGAUUGUAAAGUGCUUUCAGCAGGGAAGAAAAAAAUGACGGUACCUGCAGAAGAAGCGACGGCUAAAUACGUGCCAGCAGCCGCGAUAAUACGUAUGUCGCAAGCGUUAUCCGGAAUUAUUGGGCAUAAAGGGCAUCUAGGCGGCCAGAUAAGUCUGGGGUGAAAACUUGCGGCUCAACCGCAAGCCUGCCCUGGAAACUAUGUGGCUAGAGUACUGGAGAGGUGGACGGAACUGCACGAGUAGAGGUGAAAUUCGUAGAUAUGUGCAGGAAUGCCGAUGAUGAAGAUAGUUCACUGGACGGUAACUGACGCUGAAGUGCGAAAGCUAGGGGAGCAAACAGGAUUAGAUACCCUGGUAGUCCUAGCUGUAAACGAUGAUUACUGGGUGUGGGCAUGAAGAGUGUCCGUGCCGAAGCUAAUGCGAUAAGUAAUCCGCCUGGGGAGUACGGCCGCAAGAUUA
This 525-nucleotide ribosomal RNA is filed under the name uncultured bacterium. RNAcentral describes it as "bacterial SSU rRNA". It matches the Rfam family "Bacterial small subunit ribosomal RNA", at positions 355 to 896 of the family's 1533-position model. The record is from RNAcentral.